AACGAACGCUGGCGGCAGGCUUAACACAUGCAAGUCGAACGGGUGUAGCAAUACAUCAGUGGCAGACGGGUGAGUAACACGUGGGAACCUUCCUAGGGGUACGGAACAACUCAGGGAAACUUGAGCUAAUACCGUAUACGUCCGUAAGGAGAAAGAUUCAUCGCCCCUAGACGGGCCCGCGUCGGAUUAGGUAGUUGGUGGGGUAACGGCCUACCAAGCCUACGAUCCGUAGCUGAUCUGAGAGGAUGAUCAGCCACACUGGGACUGAGACACGGCCCAGACUCCUACGGGAGGCAGCAGUGGGGAAUCUUGGACAAUGGGCGCAAGCCUGAUCCAGCCAUGCCGCGUGAGUG
Molecule: ribosomal RNA, 353 nt
Filed under: uncultured bacterium
Lineage: Bacteria
Description: bacterial SSU rRNA
Rfam family: Bacterial small subunit ribosomal RNA
Source: RNAcentral